AUUGAACGCUGGCGGCAGGCCUAACACAUGCAAGUCGGACGGUAGCACAGAGAGCUUGCUCUUGGGUGACGAGUGGCGGACGGGUGAGUAAUGUCUGGGGAUCUGCCCGAUAGAGGGGGAUAACCACUGGAAACGGUGGCUAAUACCGCAUAACGUCGCAAGACCAAAGAGGGGGACCUUCGGGCCUCUCACUAUCGGAUGAACCCAGAUGGGAUUAGCUAGUAGGCGGGGUAAUGGCCCACCUAGGCGACGAUCCCUAGCUGGUCUGAGAGGAUGACCAGCCACACUGGAACUGAGACACGGUCCAGACUCCUACGGGAGGCAGCAGUGGGGAAUAUUGCACAAUGGGCGCAAGCCUGAUGCAGCCAUGCCGCGUGAAUGAAGAAGGCCUUCGGGUUGUAAAGUACUUUCAGCGGGGAGGAAGGCGGUGAGGUUAAUAACCUCGCCGAUUGACGUUACCCGCAGAAGAAGCACCGGCUAACUCCGUGCCAGCAGCCGCCGUAA
Molecule: ribosomal RNA, 504 nt
Filed under: uncultured bacterium
Lineage: Bacteria
Description: partial 16S ribosomal RNA
Rfam family: Bacterial small subunit ribosomal RNA
Source: RNAcentral